CCCAUAGUAUAACUAUGUCCCAUGUGAUAUUUGGGACAUAUUUAUACUAAAA
This 52-nucleotide microRNA precursor is filed under the name Myotis lucifugus (little brown bat). RNAcentral describes it as "mir-1302 microRNA precursor family". It matches the Rfam family "mir-1302 microRNA precursor family". The record is from Rfam by way of RNAcentral. Lineage: Eukaryota; Metazoa; Chordata; Mammalia; Chiroptera; Vespertilionidae.